UCGGAAUUACUGGGCGUAAAGCGCGCGUAGGUGGUUCAGCAAGUUGGAUGUGAAAUACCCGGGCUCAACCUGGGAACUGCAUCCAAAACUACUGAGCUAGAGUACGGUAGAGGGUGGGUGGAAUUUCCUGUGUAGCGGUGAAAAUGCGUAGAUAUAGGAAGGAACACCAGUGGCGAAGGCGACCACCCUGGACUGAUACUGACACUGAGGUGCGAAAGCGUGGGGGAGCAAACAGGAUUAGAUACCCCUGGUAG
This 254-nucleotide ribosomal RNA is filed under the name uncultured bacterium. Its description in RNAcentral is "partial 16S ribosomal RNA". It matches the Rfam family "Bacterial small subunit ribosomal RNA", at positions 545 to 793 of the family's 1533-position model. The record is from RNAcentral.